This 242-nucleotide non-coding RNA is filed under the name Flavobacterium fontis. Lineage: Bacteria; Pseudomonadati; Bacteroidota; Flavobacteriia; Flavobacteriales; Flavobacteriaceae. The record is from RNAcentral.
CCUUUGCGCCCGUAUUUAGGUUGUUUGUACACGGUUGUGUACACACAUUAAAAGGGAAUCAGGUACGAAUGAUUAUUUCAAAUUUUGAAUUGUAAAUUUUAAAUUAUCGAUCAAAUCCUGAGCUGUACCCGCAACUGUAUGCUACUAAGCUUGUUUUUACUACAAAGCCAUUGCUCUUUCGGGAGUGAGAAGGUAAAAAACAAGACGCAAGCCAGGAGACCUGCCUCAAUACGUGGAGUAUC